RNAcentral lists this ribosomal RNA (1369 nucleotides) under Micrococcus luteus. RNAcentral's name for it is "16S ribosomal RNA". It matches the Rfam family "Bacterial small subunit ribosomal RNA", at positions 14 to 1392 of the family's 1533-position model. Lineage: Bacteria; Bacillati; Actinomycetota; Actinomycetes; Micrococcales; Micrococcaceae. The record is from RNAcentral.
UGAUCCUGGCUCAGGAUGAACGCUGGCGGCGUGCUUAACACAUGCAAGUCGAACGAUGAAGCCCAGCUUGCUGGGUGGAUUAGUGGCGAACGGGUGAGUAACACGUGAGUAACCUGCCCUUAACUMUGGGAUAAGCCUGGGAAACUGGGUCUAAUACCGGAUAGGAGCGUCCACCGCAUGGUGGGUGUUGGAAAGAUUUAUCGGUUUUGGAUGGACUCGCGGCCUAUCAGCUUGUUGGUGAGGUAAUGGCUCACCAAGGCGACGACGGGUAGCCGGCACUGAGAGGGUGACCGGCCACACUGGGACUGAGACACGGCCCAGACUCCUACGGGAGGCAGCAGUGGGGAAUAUUGCACAAUGGGCGCAAGCCUGAUGCAGCGACGCCGCGUGAGGGAUGACGGCCUUCGGGUUGUAAACCUCUUUCAGUAGGGAAGAAGCGAAAGUGACGGUACCUGCAGAAGAAGCACCGGCUAACUACGUGCCAGCAGCCGCGGUAAUACGUAGGGUGCGAGCGUUAUCCGGAAUUAUUGGGCGUAAAGAGCUCGUAGGCGGUUUGUCGCGUCUGUCGUGAAAGUCCGGGGCUUAACCCCGGAUCUGCGGUGGGUACGGGCAGACUAGAGUGCAGUAGGGGAGACUGGAAUUCCUGGUGUAGCGGUGGAAUGCGCAGAUAUCAGGAGGAACACCGAUGGCGAAGGCAGGUCUCUGGGCUGUAACUGACGCUGAGGAGCGAAAGCAUGGGGAGCGAACAGGAUUAGAUACCCUGGUAGUCCAUGCCGUAAACGUUGGGCACUAGGUGUGGGGACCAUUCCACGGUUUCCGCGCCGCAGCUAACGCAUUAAGUGCCCCGCCUGGGGAGUACGGCCGCAAGGCUAAAACUCAAAGGAAUUGACGGGGGCCCGCACAAGCGGCGGAGCAUGCGGAUUAAUUCGAUGCAACGCGAAGAACCUUACCAAGGCUUGACAUGUUCUCGAUCGCCGUAGAGAUACGGUUUCCCCUUUGGGGCGGGUUCACAGGUGGUGCAUGGUUGUCGUCAGCUCGUGUCGUGAGAUGUUGGGUUAAGUCCCGCAACGAGCGCAACCCUCGUUCCAUGUUGCCAGCACGUMRUGGUGGGGACUCAUGGGAGACUGCCGGGGUCAACUCGGAGGAAGGUGAGGACGACGUCAAAUCAUCAUGCCCCUUAUGUCUUGGGCUUCACGCAUGCUACAAUGGCCGGUACAAUGGGUUGCGAUACUGUGAGGUGGAGCUAAUCCCAAAAAGCCGGUCUCAGUUCGGAUUGGGGUCUGCAACUCGACCCCAUGAAGUCGGAGUCGCUAGUAAUCGCAGAUCAGCAACGCUGCGGUGAAUACGUUCCCGGGCCUUGUACACACCG